This 505-nucleotide ribosomal RNA is filed under the name uncultured bacterium. RNAcentral's name for it is "partial 16S ribosomal RNA". It matches the Rfam family "Bacterial small subunit ribosomal RNA", at positions 28 to 507 of the family's 1533-position model. The record is from RNAcentral.
GACGAACGCUGGCGGCGUGCCUAACACAUGCAAGUGGGACGCAAGGAAACACACUGUGCUGGCACACCGUGUUUUCUUCAGUCGCGAACGGCGGAGUAACGCGUAGCUAACCUGCCGGUUAGCGUGGGGAAACUAUGGGAAACGCUAGCUAAUACCUCCUGAUGUUAAUUAUUGCAUGAUAAUUGAUGGAAAGUUGCAAUCGCAUCACUAGUAAUUAGCUCUGCGUUGUAUUAGCUAGUUGGUAAGGUAAGAGCUUACCAAGGCGACGAUACAUAGCCGACCUGAGAGGGUGAUCGGCCACACUGGGACUGAGACCAGGCCCAGACUCCUACGGGAGGCAGCAGUAGGGAAUCUUCGGCAAUGGACGAAAGUCUGACCGAGCAACGCCGCGUGAGUGAAGAAGGUUUUCGGAUCGUAAAGCUCUGUUGUAAGUCAAGAACGUGUGUGAGAGUGGAAAGUUCACACAGUGACGGUAGCUUACCAGAAAGGGACGGCUAACUACGUG